GAUGAACGCUGGCGGCGUGCCUAAUACAUGCAAGUCGAGCGAACGGACGAGAAGCUUGCUUUUCUGAUGUUAGCGGCGGACGGGUGAGUAACACGUGGAUAACCUACCUAUAAGACUGGGAUAACUUCGGGAAACCGGAGCUAAUACCGGAUAAUAUUUUGAACCGCAUGGUUCAAAAGUGAAAGACGGUCUUGCUGUCACUUAUAGAUGGAUCCGCGCUGCAUUAGCUAGUUGGUAAGGUAACGGCUUACCAAGGCAACGAUGCAUAGCCGACCUGAGAGGGUGAUCGGCCACACUGGAACUGAGACACGGUCCAGACUCCUACGGGAGGCAGCAGUAGGGAAUCUUGCGCAAUGGGCGAAAGCCUGACGGAGCAACGCCGCGUGAGUGAUGAAGGUCUUCGGAUCGUAAAACUCUGUUAUUAGGGAAGAACAUAUGUGUAAGUAACUGUGCACAUCUUGACGGUACCUAAUCAGAAAGCCACGGCUAACUACGUG
RNAcentral lists this ribosomal RNA (497 nucleotides) under uncultured bacterium. RNAcentral describes it as "partial 16S ribosomal RNA". It matches the Rfam family "Bacterial small subunit ribosomal RNA", at positions 28 to 507 of the family's 1533-position model. The record is from RNAcentral.